GCUCGUAGUUGGAUUUCUGUCGUGGUCGUCCGGUACCGCCCGUAUGGGUGUGCACCUGGUAUGCCCUCGGCUUUCUUCUGGUAGCCUUCCGCGCUUCAUUGCGUGUGUUGGUGUUCCGGAACUUUUACUUUGAGAAAAAUAGAGUGUUUCAAGCAGGCUUGUCGCCCUGAAUACUUCAGCAUGGAAUAAUAAGAUAGGACCUCGGUUCUAUUUUGUUGGUUUCUAGGACCAAGGUAAUGAUUAAUAGGGACAGUUGGGGGCAUUCGUAUUUAACUGUCAGAGGUGAAAUUCUUAGAUUUG
RNAcentral lists this ribosomal RNA (300 nucleotides) under Isospora anthochaerae. Its description in RNAcentral is "SSU rRNA". It matches the Rfam family "Eukaryotic small subunit ribosomal RNA", at positions 626 to 928 of the family's 1831-position model. The record is from RNAcentral. Lineage: Eukaryota; Apicomplexa; Conoidasida; Eucoccidiorida; Eimeriidae.